UACCAGCACCCCGAGUGGUCGGGACGAUUAUUGGGCCUAAAGCAUCCGUAGCCGGUUCUGCAAGUCCCCCGUUAAAUCCAGCUGCUCAACAGAUGGGCCGCGGAGGAUACUACAGAGCUAGGAGGCAGGAGAGGCAAGCGGUACUCAGUGGGUAGGGGUACAAUCCGUUGAUCCAUUGAAGACCACCAGUGGCGAAGGCGGCUUGCCAGAAUGCGCUCGACGGUGAGAGAUGAAAGCUAGGGGAGCAAACCGG
RNAcentral lists this ribosomal RNA (253 nucleotides) under uncultured bacterium. Its description in RNAcentral is "partial 16S ribosomal RNA". It matches the Rfam family "Archaeal small subunit ribosomal RNA", at positions 474 to 727 of the family's 1478-position model. The record is from RNAcentral.